UGGAAACUGGGAGACUGAGUUGCAGAAGAAGGACAGUGGAACUCCAUGUGUAGCGGUGAAAUGCGUAGAUAUAUGGAAGAACACCAGUGGCGAAGGCGGCUGUCUGGUCUGUAACUGACGCUGAGGCUCGAAAGCAUGGGUAGCGAACAGGAUUAGAUACCCUGGUAGUCCAUGCCGUAAACGAUGAUUACUAAGUGUUGGAGGGUUUCCGCCCUUCAGUGCUGCAGCUAACGCAUUAAGUAAUCCGCCUGGGGAGUACGACCGCAAGGUUGAAACUCAAAAGAAUUGACGGGGGCCCGCACAAGCGGUGGAGCAUGUGGUUUAAUUCGAAGCUACGCGAAGAACCUUACCAGGUCUUGACAUCUUCUGCCAACCUAAGAGAUUAGGCGUUCCCUUCGGGGACAGAAUGACAGGUGGUGCAUGGUUGUCGUCAGCUCGUGUCGUGAGAUGUUGGGUUAAGUCCCGCAACGAGCGCAACCCUUAUUACUAGUUGCCAGCAUUCAGUUGGGCACUCUAGUGAGACUGCCGGUGACAAACCGGAGGAAGGUGGGGACGACGUCAAAUCAUCAUGCCCCUUAUGACCUGGGCUACACACGUGCUACAAUGGAUGGUACAACGAGUCGCGAAACCGCGAGGUUUAGCUAAUCUCUUAAAACCAUUCUCAGUUCGGACUGUAGGCUGCAACUCGCCUACACGAAGUCGGAAUCGCUAGUAAUCGCGGAUCAGCAUGCCGCGGUGAAUACGUUCCCGGGCCUUGUACACACCGCCCGUCACACCAUGAGAGUUUGUAACACCCAAAGCCGGUGGGGUAACCUUUUAGGAGCUAGCCGUCUAA
Molecule: ribosomal RNA, 835 nt
Filed under: Pediococcus acidilactici
Lineage: Bacteria; Bacillati; Bacillota; Bacilli; Lactobacillales; Lactobacillaceae
Description: bacterial SSU rRNA
Rfam family: Bacterial small subunit ribosomal RNA
Source: RNAcentral